GCAACCCUUAAGCUUAGUUGCCAUCAUUAAGUUGGGCACUCUAAGUUGACUGCCGGUGACAAACCGGAGGAAGGUGGGGAUGACGUCAAAUCAUCAUGCCCCUUAUGAUUUGGGCUACACACGUGCUACAAUGGACAAUACAAAGGGCAGCGAAACCGCGAGGUCAAGCAAAUCCCAUAAAGUUGUUCUCAGUUCGGAUUGUAGUCUGCAACUCGACUACAUGAAGCUGGAAUCGCUAGUAAUCGUAGAUCAGCAUGCUACGGUGAAUACGUUCCCGGGUCUUGUACACACCGCCCGUCACACCACGAGAGUUUGUAACACCCGAAGCCGGUGGAGUAACCUUUUAGGAGCUAGCCGUCGAAGGUGGGACAAAUGAUUGGGGUGAAGUCGUAACAAGGUAGCCGUAUCGGAAGGUGCGGCU
Molecule: ribosomal RNA, 421 nt
Filed under: Staphylococcus aureus
Lineage: Bacteria; Bacillati; Bacillota; Bacilli; Caryophanales; Staphylococcaceae
Description: bacterial SSU rRNA
Rfam family: Bacterial small subunit ribosomal RNA
Source: RNAcentral